Molecule: transfer RNA, 60 nt
Filed under: Bankia gouldi
Lineage: Eukaryota; Metazoa; Mollusca; Bivalvia; Myida; Teredinidae
Description: tRNA-Glu
Source: RNAcentral
UUUUUUAUGGUGUAUAGUAGCACGCUGGUUUUUCAUGCUAGAGGAGGAAGCUUUUCCUGA